Molecule: ribosomal RNA, 252 nt
Filed under: uncultured Bacteroidales bacterium
Lineage: Bacteria; Pseudomonadati; Bacteroidota; Bacteroidia; Bacteroidales
Description: partial 16S ribosomal RNA
Rfam family: Bacterial small subunit ribosomal RNA
Source: RNAcentral
UACGGAGGAUGCGAGCGUUAUCCGGAUUUAUUGGGUUUAAAGGGUGCGUAGGCGGGCUGUUAAGUCAGCGGUCAAAGCCCGGGGCUCAACCCCGGCGAGCCGUUGAAACUGGCUGUCUUGAGAUGUCGAGAGGUAUGCGGAAUGCGCAGUGUAGCGGUGAAAUGCAUAGAUAUCACACAGAACACCGAUUGCGAAGGCAUCUCACGAAUCCGCUAUUGACGCUGAUGCACGAAAGCGUGGGUAUCAAACAGG